This 856-nucleotide ribosomal RNA is filed under the name uncultured bacterium. RNAcentral's name for it is "bacterial SSU rRNA". It matches the Rfam family "Bacterial small subunit ribosomal RNA", at positions 76 to 921 of the family's 1533-position model. The record is from RNAcentral.
CUCUUCGGGGAUGAUUAAACCGGCGCACGGGUGAGUAACACGUGAGUGACCUGCCUUUUAGACUGGAACAACUUACCGAAAGGUGAGCUAAUGCCGGAUGAGUUAUAUAAGUGCAUGUUUAUAUAGGAAAAGUUGGGGAGACCUGACGCUGAAAGAUGGACUCGCGUCCCAUUAGCUAGUUGGUAGGGUAAUGGCCUACCAAGGCGACGAUGGGUAGCCGGCCUGAGAGGGUGGCCGGCCACACUGGGACUGAGACACGGCCCAGACUCCUACGGGAGGCAGCAGUGGGGAAUUUUGCGCAAUGCUCGUAAGAGUGACGCAGCGACGCCGCGUGAAUGACGAAGGCCUUCGGGUCGUAAAGUUCUUUCGACAGGGAAGAAAAUGCCUAUAAGUAACUGUGUAUGUAUUGACGGUACCUGUAUAAGCAGCCCCGGCUAACUCCGUGCCAGCAGCCGCGGUAAUACGGAGGGGGCGAGCGUUGUUCGGAGUGACUGGGCGUAAAGAGCACGUAGGCGGUGUUGUAAGUCAUUAGUCAAAGACUAGAGCUCAACUUUAGUAAGGCUAGUGAUACUAUAAUACUAGAGUAUCAGAGAGGAUUGCAGAAUUCCUGGUGUAGCGGUGAAAUGCGUAGAUAUCAGGAGGAAUACCAUUAGCGAAGGCGGCAAUCUGGCUGGAAACUGACGCUGAGGUGCGAAAGCGUGGGUAGCAAACAGGAUUAGAUACCCUGGUAGUCCACGCUGUAAACGAUGGAUGCUAGGUGUUGGGCUUUUAAGUUCAGUGCCGCAGCAAACGCGAUAAGCAUCCCGCCUGGGGGGUACGUUUGCAAGAAUGAAACUCAAAGGAAUUGACGGGGGCC